Molecule: ribosomal RNA, 247 nt
Filed under: uncultured bacterium
Lineage: Bacteria
Description: partial 16S ribosomal RNA
Rfam family: Bacterial small subunit ribosomal RNA
Source: RNAcentral
GCAAGUCGAGGGGUAACAUUGUGCUUGCACAGAUGACGACCGGCGCACGGGUGCGUAACGCGUAUAGAAUCUACCUUAUACUAAGGAAUAGCCUUUGGAAACGAAGAUUAAUGCCUUAUAGUAUGAUGACUUGGCAUCAAGAUAUCAUUAAAGAUUACGGUAUAAGAUGACUAUGCGUUCUAUUAGCUAGAUGGUGUGGUAACGGCACACCAUGGCAACGAUAGGUAGGGGGUCUGAGAGGAUUAUC